UGGGACACAUUGGAAGAAUUGUCUUGGGC
Molecule: non-coding RNA, 29 nt
Filed under: Homo sapiens (human)
Lineage: Eukaryota; Metazoa; Chordata; Mammalia; Primates; Hominidae
Source: RNAcentral